GUGAGAUGGUUUUGGCAGCAAUCACACUAAACAGGGAUUUUCCAAUCUUGGCUGCUAACAUGAGAUUCCUUGUUUAGGAUCACGUUGCUUGUAGAUUACAGAAUUGGCCACAGAAUAGACACACUGCUCAAAUGACAGAUUUGUCCAACCUGUGCUGUGUUACAGGAAACGAGGCCAUGUUUUGUAAACCAGAGCUAAUAUUUUCCAUCUGUAACCAAGUACAAGACUGAUGAAGGACAUAAAGAAUAUUAUGCAAUGGAGAAUGACUGAAAGGAGAAAUCUCAAGCCUUAAGAUAUUGUGUUUCACUUAUUUGCUUCUCUCAUUAAUUUUCAGGACACCUCAAAUAAUAAUACAAUUCUUACCUAGCUAAGUAUAUCUUAAACAAUCCAAAGCAGCUAUAAUCAGAUACUCCAAAGAAACUUUUAUAGCUAUCCUGGGCUUUAAGACAAAACAUUUCCAUUUAGAAGCUGACUUUGUAACAUCCCCAUGAAAAUACAUUGUGCGUGUUACUGGGUAAAACAUUUUGCUUGUGCUUUUUGCCCCCCUCCUUCCUAAAGGACUAAACUGGCUCUGCUAAAUUUCUGGUGAACUCAAACAGGUAGGGUAUGAGAAAUCCAGGACUCCCAUUUCUAUCCUGGCUAUCCCCCUGAAGAUGACAAAUUUAGAAAUGAAGUACCAGAUAUUAGGCACAAAGAGCUUCCUAUUUCUAGUUAGAAGAACAAUAGAAUCUGUAAUGCACAUAUAUGCAUGCUGUAGUAUUCAAGGAUAGUCAACUUUUGUUAUCUUUUAAUUGGAUAUUUGCUUGUAGUGGUGCUAAAAAAACUCUUCCCAUUUAGGUGUGUGAAUGGUGGAAAAGAAGGGAAGUCUCCUAAACAAUUCAAAAGAUACCUACAUCAGGGAUACUUGGUAGUCUGUAGACAGAAAUAAAAAAUAGUCUAUUCCUGAAACAAGUAUUUCAAGUAGGUUGGAUGAUGCAUCACAGGCUCCAGAAAUGGAUUAAUGACAGAUGAAUGGACCCCACAUCUCUGGAUAGGUGCAGGUUUGUGUGCCACCUCUUGGUUGUUGGAUUGUUGUUUUUUUAAUGGUGACCAUUUCCUCAAAGGUUUUCCUGUUUGGUUUUCUUUCCUCUCUAUAGGACAGCUCCCUCUCAGGCAGCAUUUUAUUCCUAAAAUUCACUUCAUGGGAAUUGAAUCUUGAGGGAAGGGAAACUGGUUUCCUGGUUCUCUGGAAAGAGUUCUUGCUGACACUUCAUCACAUGAGCAUCAAGUGUGUACAAACAAGAUUUCAAACAUGCAAGACUGGAAUUGUAUUUUAGAAGACAGUGUCUGGAAGCGACAAUGUGAAAGUGUGGGCUGAGCAAAGGAGACCGAGAACUUAAAAUACAUAAAUAAAUAAACAUUGUAGUAGAACCACUGCAGGGUAUAAAGGGAACGCUGCUGCCAGGCUGGGUCUUUCAGGGAGCUGGGACAGAGAACCUAGCAGGUUUUGUGUUGAACAGAUGGCCACAAAAAUGUCAUGCUCAUAGAAGGGGAUUUCCAAAAGGGCAGAAUUUGGCUCCAUUUCUCCUAGCUUGUGGUGUCUGCACCAGUCGUGGGGUUGUGUUUUAACUGCAGAGAGAAAAUGCUCUGUCUAUAAGGGAAAUAGUCCUCUGCUAGGUUUUAUUUAAUAGUGAAUGAAUGUGUAAAGACUAUGAGUGGUGUGAUUUUUUUUAUUUUUUUUUUUCCUCCUAUAAACCAUUUCACCUACUUCUGCCCUAAUUUCCAUCUACCUCCAGAGUAGCACUUGACUCUGACCAGGACUAUGGUGAUGCUGUAUAAAUAUUUUUAAGUGCUUCUAGAAAGCCAGUUUUCUGUACAAAACCAUGGCAAAUAAUUCAAGAGAAAUAAAGUAGCAUAGGUGACUUGCUUUUACUGGAUAAUAAAUGCCAGUAUAAAAUCUGGGGUUUCUAAUAAUAUAUUUUAGAUAUAAACGUGCUUAUAGAACAUGUUUUCAAGCAAAGUUUAGUAUCAAACAGAAUGGUUUUCUUAUGCUGAGCAACAAGCAUUUCCAGGUGCAAACUGCUUGCAGUGAUGCUAGAAUCUAUGGUAAGCUGUGGCUGCAUAAGGGAGGGAAGUGCUGGUACACCUUUGUGUGGUAAUAUUGUCACAGGCCGCUGUUUCAAAGAAGUUGUCAUCCUAUCUCAAGCAAUCAGAGGUGGAAAAAAUGAAAGGUCAGUCUUCAAAAGAACACCCUUAAACUCCUUGCUGGCUGACAUGACAGGGGGUGUGUGUCUUAAAGGUAGGUAUCCAAAAGUAAUUCAUUUAUUAAUUGUUGCUAAAUGUAAUUCAUUAUUCUCUGAUGUAUGUUUGUCUCUGGCCUCUUCCACCUUCCUGUUUUAUAUAUUUAACCCUGUCAAUGUGGUACUUUAUCAUCUUUAUCACUACAGCUUCUCCAAGUAAUGGAAAAAAAUAGAUUGUGUUGGGUAGUCCUUUCUGCUUGAGACCAUAUUAUUUUGGCAAAAUGGGCCCUUUGACUCCAAAACCAAUCGGAUUCAAAUACUGGUAGACUGAUCACAGUUCACAGUGAAAAAUUAAAGGUGAGCAGGACUGCCUUCAGCCCUCAUGCUUCUCUUCAGAAAAAAACAGCUCAUAAAUAGUGCAGGCUCUCCCACUCUGCUCUUUAGCAGUCCUCGCACAUAGCCAUAGACCUACUCGCAUUUGUCACAGCAUGUCCCAAGAGCUCAGCCAAGGCAGGAAUUCAGCUUUACUAAUCCCAAGCAGCUUCCUGCAAGAUCAAGUAUCAGGGAAAGAAAUAUGUUCUUUUAUAGCAAAACUAAAUUUCUAACCCCUCGCCUCAUGCCAGAACCAAUGCUGCCACUCGCUCCAGUCUCAGUGGUGAGUCAAAGGUGGCAGAUGUCCCUGCUGCCUUCAACCUUCCUCCCCCAUCUGAUUUGGAGCCUGCGAGUUGUUAUUGGUAAUUCAUGCCUAUUGGUUUCCCAGCCAUAACCUGUGCUGUAUUCAGCAGAGUCCAUCAGAAGUCAUCCAGUUGCAGAGAGGGAAUUGUCUUUAUGCUUUCUGGAAGUGCUGACUUUACCAAAUGCUGUUCCUUCUCUCCUAGAAACGAUCUGAGGCUGGAACUGUUUAAGUUUGCCUUACAUUAGAGUUCAAAGUAAGAAUUCACCUUUCACUUUUGUCCAAAAGUAGAUGUAUUCUGUAUUUGGUGACACUAAUUCUUCUACAUGCUGAUACUGUUGUAAAGUAAGACCUUCACCUUGUAAAGCUCUAACUGUUGAUAUUUGGUAUUGUUUUUCUAAGGGUAAGACUAUGCUUCAGGCCCUAAUUAGGUCUGAUUUGAGAAAUAGACAAUUGUUGAUACCUGUUCAUUUUAGCCUGUUUGUUGGUCACUGUUUGGAGACAAAGGUAGGUUUGGAACUGGAGAUCUUAAUCUGAAUCUAAAUAACAGGGACACACGAUAAAGCCAGUCCUUCCAAAAUGAUUGCUGCUGCUGGAAUCGCUAAGUGCCUCCUUGCUGCUUCAGACCAGGCUGGGGACAACUGGCUGUCUAUUCUCUGGCCUGGGCUCUGUUAGGGUGGUUGUCUGGCUCAGCCAGGCGUGAGUCUGCUGCCUUGGAGCAGUUCAGAGGCAGUGUAAGGAUAGCUUUUAGUUGCUGCUUGCAUUGACUAUACCUCUUAUUUUAAGAUGAGUAGCGAAGACAGGCAACAAAGUUGCUGCAGAAAAUUGGUGUCAGUGAGCCUCUAUAACUAGCUGACCUCCUGACAUUUGCAGCAACAAGCUAAAGGCCAGCUGCUGCAAAGGAAUGUUUUCCUGUCCAGUGUUGGCUGGAAAUACCUGUGAUGAUUGUGAAUAAGUCUAGCACUGAGAUAGGGAAUAGGACUGGGGAAAGGAAAUCAUUUAAGCUUGUUUAUGGGGAUCCUGUUGAUUGUAGUUUUGUUUGUAAUUGGCUGUUGAUACGGAGGAUUGCAGGAACCCACUCCUCCUUAAGUCACAGUUAAGUCUUCCUAAACUGAUUAAACAUUUUCAUAGUUGUAAGGCAGUGGUUUGCACUUGACAUGGAGGCUCCAGCUCAGAAAGCCCUGGAUGCUGAUUCAGGUCUUGGAUCCUUCAUCUAAUUUGGAUGAAGGAGACUACUUCACUAUUGUCAUUGCUGUUCAGAGGUACGGCUGUGUUACUGAAUGGAGCCAGGAAACAGGGUCAAAGAAUUCAUAAUGGAUGGUGCCUGAGUUGGAAAGUUGGAGCUGAGAUGUCAUGGCAGAACUAAAAGCUGUCAUGGCUGUGACUUGGAGUCAGAUCUGUGGGCUGGAUUCAUUGCCAACCUUGCAGCUCCUUGCACCGGGACUCCGACUUAUCCUAAGAACUGGUUUUCUUGUCACGAUUCAAGACUGAAUUAGUGAAGGACAAGUGCAAUGACAAAGGUUGGUAGCAGGGCAUGGUCCUGCUCUUUGUGCUGCCUGUAGGUUUGGGCUGAAGUCAGGGUCUGGGUGUGUGGCUGUCCAGUGACUCACUCAGGGGCAGUGUUUACAGGAGGGAAAACACAGGGCCAGAAUGAAUUAAACACCUUAUUUGUUCAGUGGUUCCCAUUGUUUCCCAUUUUGGGAAAUUCACUCUUCAGUCUGUGUCCAACUCACUUGAAAGCCUUGUGUGUAUGUGUGAUAUUUGGAUCUCUGAGAACAGCUCUGACCCAUUACAUUUCUUUUCAGUGGUAAAUUGUUAUUUAUAGUAAGGAGUUUGACUGAAGCUAUGGAGCUAUUGGCUGUAUGUCUUACAAGGCAAGCCAAACAGGGAACCAAAAUAAUUCUGAUUCAAUUUCCUCUAAGCCCAAGCCCUGCUGCUACUUGUGGGAUCUUUAAAAAAAAAAUAAUCUCAUUAAAGCCUUUCUGACCUGUUUGGUUCCUUCUUUAUCUUACAGAAUGUGGACCUUUCAUCCAAUUAAAGCACUGAAAAACAAGAGUUCCAUGUAGCUGGGAAGUUGGAAGGAACAAGUUGUAAAGUUAUGCUCUCCUUCUGUAAGGAAGGUUUAUUGUAUCUUUAGCUGGUUUUCUCCCUAGUUAUCAUCGAAGGGCACAUGGAUACCUGGAUCUACACAAUGGAGAAGUGGAGGCACUGGGGAGACUUGUGUCUUUUAACCCAGGAAACUGCAGAUGUAAGAUGCCUCAAAGAGCAAAGGAUGCUCAAGAGGAGGAUAAAAUUUGGUAUUUUACUAUUUCAGAUGCUCAAGUGGGCUGGGUUCUGUUUUUUGAAGUCUCAUCUCUGUCCCUACUUUGAUUACCUGCUUUCCUCUGAGUAUUUCCCUUUACUUUUACAGCUGUAAUUGAGCAACUAUAUGACAGAAACUCCUGGAUUUCUUCUCCUCAUCAGUUCUGAUAAUGCAGGUUUGAAUUAAAUGCCACAGAAGCAGUUCAUAGAAGAGCAAAGGUGAUGCUGUGUUGGAUUCCUCUUUGCCUGGGUAGCAAGCUGGCAUUGGGCCGGGACCAGCCAUGGUUUACCAGCCUUGUGUGAUGUGGAGAAUUGCUUCAGCACAGAAAGACUGUAAACCUGUUCAAUUAAAGGAAGUGCUCAGAUCCAGCUGUUGACGUCCUGUGAAUGCCAGCGGCCCUAGCAAAGUAAAUAAGGCAGACACACUCCGCCCUUGGAACAGAUACAAAGAUUUGAGCCUUAAUUCUCCUGAAAGAAGAGUCUUUGUUUGGAAAAGACCGUUAGCAAAAGUAAGAGGAAUGUAAGACUUGAUGCAUAAAAUACCCGGUUAGACAAAGUCUUCUGCAGAUAACAGAGAGGUCUCUAUAGUAGGGGUCUAGUAAAAAAAAAA
This is a long non-coding RNA of Coturnix japonica (Japanese quail), 5803 nucleotides long. RefSeq lists it as uncharacterized. NCBI's taxonomy places the organism in Eukaryota, Metazoa, Chordata, Aves, Galliformes, Phasianidae. The record is from RefSeq and is a predicted model, not a curated record.